UACGAAGGGGGCGAGCGUUGUUCGGAUUUACUGGGCGUAAAGGGCGCGCAGGCGGCUCAUUUUGUCAGGCGUGAAAGCCCCGGGCUUAACCUGGGAGGUGCGUUUGAUACGGAUGGGCUGGAGUUCGGGAGAGGAGAGCGGAAUUCCCAGUGUAGAGGUGAAAUUCGUAGAUAUUGGGAAGAACACCGGUGGCGAAGGCGGCUCUCUGGACCGAGACUGACGCUGAGGCGCGAAAGCGUGGGGAGCAAACAGG
This 253-nucleotide ribosomal RNA is filed under the name uncultured bacterium. RNAcentral describes it as "partial 16S ribosomal RNA". It matches the Rfam family "Bacterial small subunit ribosomal RNA", at positions 524 to 776 of the family's 1533-position model. The record is from RNAcentral.